Acanthosepion pharaonis is the source of this 103-nucleotide non-coding RNA. The record is from the annotation of a GenBank genome assembly. Lineage: Eukaryota; Metazoa; Mollusca; Cephalopoda; Sepiida; Sepiidae.
CAUGUCAUUAAAACAUCAGUUCCAAUACAAUCAACAAAGUUAAGCAAUGUUGGGCCUGGUAGGUAACUAGAUGGGUGACCACUUGGGAAUACCUGGUGCUAUA